GGAUUAGAUACCCUGGUAGUCCACGCCGUAAACGAUGUCAACUAGUCGUUGGGUAUAUAUGAUAUUCAGUGACACAGCUAACGCGUUAAGUUGACCGCCUGGGGAGUACGGUCGCAAGACUAAAACUCAAAGGAAUUGACGGGGGCCCGCACAAGCGGUGGAGCAUGUGGUUUAAUUCGAUGCAACGCGAAGAACCUUACCAUCCCUUGACAUCCUUGGAAUUAAGCAGAGAUGCUUGAGUGCCUUUUGGAGCCAAGAGACAGGUGCUGCAUGGCUGUCGUCAGCUCGUGCC
This 292-nucleotide ribosomal RNA is filed under the name uncultured bacterium. RNAcentral's name for it is "partial 16S ribosomal RNA". It matches the Rfam family "Bacterial small subunit ribosomal RNA", at positions 775 to 1066 of the family's 1533-position model. The record is from RNAcentral.